Molecule: unclassified non-coding RNA, 1338 nt
Filed under: uncultured Neocallimastigales
Lineage: Eukaryota; Fungi; Neocallimastigomycota; Neocallimastigomycetes; Neocallimastigales
Description: partial contains small subunit ribosomal RNA, internal transcribed spacer 1, 5.8S ribosomal RNA, internal transcribed spacer 2, and large subunit ribosomal RNA
Rfam family: Eukaryotic large subunit ribosomal RNA (bases 598-1338)
Source: RNAcentral
UUUCCGUAGGUGAACCUGCGGAAGGAUCAUUAAUAAAUUUUUUUUGAAAUAAAAAAAAAUAAUAAUAUCCUACCCUUUGUGAAUUGUUUGUUUGAAUAAUUUUUAAAAUUAUUUAUUGUCUAUCCAAGUUGGAAAGUUGUAAAGACUCGAAGACUUGGAGCGCAUAAAUAAGUUUAAAGACUUUUUUUAAAAUUAAACUUUUGUAUUCAUUUGUCUAAAAUAAUUUUUAUAAUAUAUAAAACAACUUUUGACAAUGGAUCUCUUGGUUCUCGCAACGAUGAAGAACGCAGCAAAAUGCGAUAAGUAAUGUGAAUUGCAGAAUACGUGAAUCAUCGAAUCUUCGAACGCAUAUUGCACUUUUUAGUUACUAAAAAGUAUGUCUGUUUGAGUAUCAGUAAAAUAUUCUCAUAAAAUUUUAAUUUUAUGGUUAUGAGUGUUUUACAACGAUAAACAAGUUGUUUCACUUUAAAUUGAAUUUUUUGAAGAAAUUCUUAAUUCAAAUUAAAUUUGGAUAAAAUUUUCCCGUAAAAGGAAUAACUAUACAAGUUUAAUAAGAAUUAGUGAUUUCUUUUAUGAAAGGAAAUUUAUUAAAUAACUUGAUCUCAAAUCAGAUAAGAGUACCCGCUGAACUUAAGCAUAUCAAUAAGCGGAGGAAAAGAAACUAACAAGGAUUCCCUAGUAACGGGAGUGAAGCGGGAAGAGCUCAAAUUUGAAAUCUUAAAGGUUUCCCUUUACGAAUUGUAGUUUAAAGAAGUGUUUUCUGUUGAGGUUUUGGUAAAGUUCUUGGAAUAGGACAUCAUAGAGGUGAGAAUCCGUAUUUGACCUUUACUUUCAACUUUGUGAUACACUUUCAAAGAGUCGGAUUGUUUGGGAAUGCAGUCCAAAAUGGGUGGUAAAUUUCAUCUAAAGCUAAUAUUGGCGAGAGACCGAUAGCGAACAAGUACCGUGAGGGAAAGAUGGAAAGAACUUUGAAAAGAGAGUUAAACAGUAGUGAAUUGUCAAAAGGGAAGCGUUUGACACCAGUGUUGUUUUUCUGAAAUCAAUUAAAGAACUGUUUAUGCUAAGUUGUUUAGACUUUAUCAGCUAACUGUUUAGUUUGAGCUUUUCUUUAUGCACUUUCAGUUAACAAGUCAACAUCAAUUUCUUUUGCUGUAAAAAAGCUUGAGGAAGGUGGCUUGAGAUUCGUCUUAAGUGUUUAUAGCCUCUUGCCUAUGCAGCGGAGAGAUUGAGGUCUGCAGCGUAGAUCCUUCGGGCUAAAUGCAUUUGUGCUAAGUUAUAGCAUUUUAUAGACAACUGUUGACUAUGAUUUGUCUUGUAGCUUACUCGCUUAUGUUAUUU